AAUGAACGCUGGUGGCAGGCUUAACACAUGCAAGUCGAGCGUGAAGCAUUCUUCGGAAUGUGGAAAGCGGCAAACGGGUGAGUAACAUGUGGAAACGUACCUUGUAGUUUGGGAUAGCCUUUGGAAACGAAGAUUAAUACCGAAUAUUCUCUAAGGAGGAAAGAUUUAUCGCUACAAGAUCGGUCCGCACUAGAUUAGCUUGUUGGUGAGGUAAUGGCUCACCAAGGCUACGAUCUAUAGCUGGUUUGAGAGGAUGAUCAGCCACACUGGGACUGAGAUACGGCCCAGACUCCUACGGGAGGCAGCAGUGAGGAAUAUUGCACAAUGGGGGAAACCCUGAUGCAGCCAUGCCACGUGUGUGAUGAAGGCCUUCUGGUUGUAAAACACUUUUAUUUGUGAAGAUAUUGACAUUAGCAAAAGAAAAAGCUCCGGCUAACUUCG
This 441-nucleotide ribosomal RNA is filed under the name uncultured Pseudomonadota bacterium. Its description in RNAcentral is "bacterial SSU rRNA". It matches the Rfam family "Bacterial small subunit ribosomal RNA", at positions 29 to 505 of the family's 1533-position model. The record is from RNAcentral. Lineage: Bacteria; Pseudomonadati; Pseudomonadota.